RNAcentral lists this ribosomal RNA (468 nucleotides) under uncultured bacterium. RNAcentral describes it as "partial 16S ribosomal RNA". It matches the Rfam family "Bacterial small subunit ribosomal RNA", at positions 28 to 507 of the family's 1533-position model. The record is from RNAcentral.
GACGAACGCUGGCGGCGUGCUUAACACAUGCAAGUCGAACGGAAAGGCCCUGCUUUUGUGGGGUGCUCGAGUGGCGAACGGGUGAGUAACACGUGAGUAACCUGCCCUUGACUUUGUGAUAACUUCAGGAAACUGGGGCUAAUACCGGAUAGGAGCUCCUGCUGCAUGGUGGGGGUUGGAAAGUUUCGGCGGUUGGGGAUGGACUCGCGGCUUAUCGGCUUGUUGGUGGGGUAGUGGCUUACCAAGGCUUUGACGGGUAGCCGGCCUGAGAGGGUGACCGGCCACAUUGGGACUGAGAUACGGCCCAGACUCCUACGGGAGGCAGCAGUGGGGAAUAUUGCACAAUGGGCGGAAGCCUGAUGCAGCAACGCCGCGUGCGGGAUGACGGCCUUCGGGUUGUAAACCGCUUUCGCCUGUGACGAAGCGUGAGUGACGGUAAUGGGUAAAGAAGCACCGGCUAACUACGUG